This 345-nucleotide ribosomal RNA is filed under the name uncultured bacterium. Its description in RNAcentral is "bacterial SSU rRNA". It matches the Rfam family "Bacterial small subunit ribosomal RNA", at positions 1 to 334 of the family's 1533-position model. The record is from RNAcentral.
CUAGCGACUUCAGAGUUUGAUCCUGGCUCAGGAUGAACGCUAGCUACAGGCUUAACACAUGCAAGUCGAGGGGCAGCGGGGAUCUAGCUUGCUAGAUUUGCCGGCGACCGGCGCACGGGUGAGUAACACGUAUCCAACCUGGCCCAUACUCGGGUAUAGCCUCUCGAAAGGGAGAUUAAUCCCCGAUGUUGUUGCGAUUCCGCAUGGUGUUGCAACCAAAGAGCUUCGGUAUGGGAUGGGGAUGCGUUCCAUUAGCUUGUUGGAGGGGUAACGGCCCACCAAGGCGACGAUGGAUAGGGGUUCUGAGAGGAAGGUCCCCCACACUGGAACUGAGACACGGUCCAG